AUGAGUGUUUUCGAACUUCUGUAUUCUGUGUGUGACAACCUCACAAGAAUGAUGCGGCAAUAUUGGUGGGGAGUUGAGAAUGAAAGAAGGAAAAUGGCUUGGGUUUCUUGCGACAAGCUUGUCUUACCAAAACAAAAGGGUGGUCUUGAUUUUAGAGAUAUGAGAGCAUUCAAUCAAGCAUUGCUGGCUACACAGGCCUGGAGACUUAUUGAUCAACCGGAUAGCCUUUGUGCAAGGCUGUUGCGAGCUAGGUAUUACCGUAAUGGAAAUCUUGGGGAUACAGUUUUUUCAGUCAAUGCAUCCGCGGAUUGGCGUGGCAUUGAACACGGGCUGGAGUUAUUGAAAAAAGGUAUCACUUGGCGUGUUGGUAAUGGAAUUUUGAUUCGGUCUUGGUGGGACCCAUGGAUUCCAAGGGGUCCAUCAUUUCGUCCAGUUAUGCCAAAACGUCAUUGCAGACUCGAUAAGAGUAUCAGACUUCUUGGAUAUUCAUGGUGUUUGGAGACUGGAUUUAUUGCAGCAACACUUUCUUCCUGCUGA
This 537-nucleotide ribosomal RNA is filed under the name Triticum aestivum (bread wheat). RNAcentral's name for it is "partial small subunit ribosomal RNA". Lineage: Eukaryota; Viridiplantae; Streptophyta; Magnoliopsida; Poales; Poaceae. The record is from RNAcentral.